CCCAUGCCGCGACGCUGCUCCAGCAUCCAAGCUGAGUAGAGCUCCACCACCCUCAACUCCACCUCAGGCCAACACCCACUCCCCACGUACGUACCCGCUUGUGAGCCCCGAAAACAGGCUGCACGCUCGUGCCGCUGCGUCCUCAGUCUCACUCCUUCACUCCUUCCACAACAGGCUGCACGCUCGUGUUUCAGGCGCGACAGUACCUGUGCAGUGUGCACCCAGACAAACCCGUGUCCCAAGCCACGCACACCAUAUUGUCG
Molecule: long non-coding RNA, 263 nt
Filed under: Chlamydomonas reinhardtii
Lineage: Eukaryota; Viridiplantae; Chlorophyta; Chlorophyceae; Chlamydomonadales; Chlamydomonadaceae
Description: long non-coding RNA (CREI_LNC000777)
Source: RNAcentral